AUGUGCGGGAACCUGACUUCGAUUUCUUCAAAAUUCUGGUGGGGCGCGGCGGAUGGGGAAAGGAAAGUACACUGGAUUUCUUGGCAAAAAAUGUGUGCAACAAAAAGAGAUGGAGGACUUGGUUUUUGAGACCGUGAAGCUUUCAAUCAAGCCUUAUUAGCGAAGCAGGCCUAGCGGAUCUUGCAGAACCCUUCUUCCCUGUGCGCUAGGGUCCUCAAGGCCCGGUAUAUCAGCAAGGACAUGAUUCUUACAACAACUUGUUCAAGCACGGCGUCUUACACUUUUCGGAGUAUUUUGCAUGGGAGAGAUCUUCUUCGGGAGGGACUCAUUUGGCGCAUUGGUGAUGGUUCACAGGUGCAGAUACAUCAUGCAAAUUGGAUCCCAUGCAACAGCAGUAUGAAGCCAUUGGGCAAGUGUACAUGCCGGGAGUCAGGAGGGUUGCCCACCUACUGA
RNAcentral lists this ribosomal RNA (453 nucleotides) under Triticum aestivum (bread wheat). Its description in RNAcentral is "partial small subunit ribosomal RNA". The record is from RNAcentral. Lineage: Eukaryota; Viridiplantae; Streptophyta; Magnoliopsida; Poales; Poaceae.